RNAcentral lists this ribosomal RNA (317 nucleotides) under Bacillus siamensis. RNAcentral describes it as "bacterial LSU rRNA". It matches the Rfam family "Bacterial large subunit ribosomal RNA", at positions 1443 to 1758 of the family's 2925-position model. Lineage: Bacteria; Bacillati; Bacillota; Bacilli; Caryophanales; Bacillaceae. The record is from RNAcentral.
ACCUCCUCACCAUUUGAGCAAUGGGGGGACGCAGGAGGAUAGGGUAAGCGCGGUAUUGGAUAUCCGCGUCCAAGCAGUUAGGCUGGGAAAUAGGCAAAUCCGUUUCCCGUGAAGGCUGAGCUGUGAUGGCGAGCGAAUUAUAGUAGCGAAGUUCCUGAUUCCACACUGCCAAGAAAAGCCUCUAGCGAGGGGAGAGGUGCCCGUACCGCAAACCGACACAGGUAGGCGAGGAGAGAAUCCUAAGGUGAUCGAGAGAACUCUCGUUAAGGAACUCGGCAAAAUGACCCCGUAACUUCGGGAGAAGGGGUGCUCUGUUA